Molecule: ribosomal RNA, 852 nt
Filed under: Triticum aestivum (bread wheat)
Lineage: Eukaryota; Viridiplantae; Streptophyta; Magnoliopsida; Poales; Poaceae
Description: partial small subunit ribosomal RNA
Source: RNAcentral
UUUCCCGUGCAGGUGGUGCAGCCCCCGCCGUUUGCCUACCACGCGGUUCCCCUGCCGCCGGUACAGCCGCAGCUGGCGGUCCAGGUGCGCCCUGUGUGGGCGGGGAACUUCAAUGAAGAGUGGGGGUACCUCCAGAGCUUCGCCGCGCCCGCCCGCUAUGUCGCUGUCCACGUGCACUACCCGGGCCUCGUCCACGCCGCCGGACAGGACCUCAGCAGCCUGACGGUGGAGCACCGCUACGCGCUCAUGAAGGCCAACGUGGACGGCCUCAAGCCGCUCCAGGUCGGCAUCGCCGUCUGCGACCACCAAGGCCAGCAGGUCGCCUGGGAGUUCAGCCUCCGCGACUUUUCCCGCCUCGCCGACCCGCACGACGACAAGGCCCUCGACUACCUCGCCCGCCGCGGCCUCGACCUCGACACGCUCCGUAACCACGGCGUCGACGCCUACAUGCUCGGCGCGCUGCUCAUGGGCUCCGGCCUCAUCGGCGCCGGACACGGGCGGCCGCUGUCGUGGAUCACCCACGCCGGUGCCUACCACGUGGCGUAUCUCCUCAAGAUCGUCACGGGCGGCGCCCCGCUGCCGCACGACGUGGCCGGGUUCGUCGGCGCCAUGCGGUAUUACCUGGGCCAGCAGGUCUACGACGUUGCGACGAUGGCGGCCGGCUGCCCGGGCAUGCCGGUGGGGCUGGACAGCAUCGCCGCUAACCUGCGCAUCCAUCCGCCGUGGGGGAGCCCACGCCUCGCAGGCGCCGCCGGCGUGCGCGCGCUUCUGGCCUUCAGGAUUUUGAAGCAAGGGCAGUUGGGCGGCAACGUGGAGAGGUUCCGAGGCCUGCUCCAGGGACUGCAGCAUUAG